AAAAAAAACAAGUACAUCCCUUCCUUUGAUUUGGAGAUACAGGGAAAAAAAAUUAUGAAUGGAUCAUAGAUUCAUAAUAUAUAAGAAAGAAAGAAAGAAAAACAACAAUAAAUUGAAAAAAUUAAAAUCGAUCAUAGAUUCAUAAUGUAUUAGAAAGAAAGAAAACAACAAUGAAUUGAAAAAAUUAAAAUCGAUGGGCAAUAAUAUAUAUAAAC
This 215-nucleotide long non-coding RNA is filed under the name Trifolium pratense (red clover). Its description in RNAcentral is "long non-coding RNA (TPRA_LNC005413)". Lineage: Eukaryota; Viridiplantae; Streptophyta; Magnoliopsida; Fabales; Fabaceae. The record is from RNAcentral.